UCUUUUCUCUUACAGUUUCUUUUAAUUUUUUUUUUUCUUCUCUCCCUAAUUUUUGGAGCAUACUUGCGAUUUCCGCUUCGAUUGUAACCUGGAUUUGAGCUCCCUGUGGAAUUCUGGAGUUUUGACCUGAGUGUGAUUGGAGCUCGGAUUAGGGUUUUGGUUGGCUUCUCAGUGUUAAUUGAUGCUCUCCAGGAAGCGAGGGAUUAGCGGUUCGAUCAUUGGAUUUGCUGAAGUUUUAAAGAGGAGGCCGGAAGAUGAAUUUCAGGGGCAUGGAGAUCGAUGAAAACGAUGGCCGGCAGCAACCGGAAGCUGCGCCGGCGCUGGCGCGGCAGUCUUCGAUUUACUCUUUGACCUUCGAUGAGUUUCAGAGCUCUAUGGGUGGUUUAGGUAAGGACUAUGGUUCGAUGAACAUGGACGAGUUUCUUAAGAAUAUAUGGACGGCUGAGGAGAGUCAGGCCAUGGCAGCUGCCCUCGGUGCUUCUGUCGGUGGCGUUGGUGGGGCCCAGGCUGGGCUUCAGCGCCAGGGUUCGAUCACCCUUCCGAGAACUCUUAGCCAGAAGACCGUCGAUGAGGUGUGGCGUGAUGUAAUCAAUGAGAGCGGCGCCGGUGGCUCAGGUGUCGGCGCCGGUGGAUCCGGGUUCCAACACCAUCAGCGGCAGCCAACCCUUGGGGAGAUGACCCUCGAAGAAUUCCUGGUACGAGCUGGGGUUGUGAAGGAGGAGAUCAGCAUUUCGACCUCCAGACCUGUUGUUAAUGGUAUAGUUUCUUCUGGCAACGGCGUUUAUUACGGAGAUUUGUCGGCUUCAGGAAACAACAAUACCGGGAUAGCCCUCGGCUUUCCUCAGGCGGGUCAGGGUAAUUUGGGCAUCAUGCCGGCCUCAAUCCCUAGUAAUUCUGGUGCUAACCUUGCCAUGUCCGCCACGGGCACGAGGUCAUACGCCCAGCAGCUCCCAUUGGGCAGUAAUGUCAAUCUCGGAAGUCCUCGGGGUAUGAGAGGCGGAGGACUUGUUGGUAUUGGAGAUCCGGUAAUCGGCAAUGGUUUGAUCACCGGGGUGGUUGGUUUGGGAGGAGGGGGUGUCAACGUUGGUACGUCGGUAUCUCCGGUGCAUCAGAUUCCGUCGGACGGGCUUGCGAAAGGGAAUGGGGAUCUUUCUUCUUUGUCUCCCGUACCAUACGUUUUCAAUGGGGGACUGAGGGGGAGGAAGUGCAGUGGAGCAGUGGAGAAGGUUGUGGAGAGGAGGCAGAAGAGGAUGAUUAAGAACAGAGAGUCUGCCGCAAGGUCUCGUGCCCGGAAGCAGGCUUAUACGAUGGAGCUAGAAGCUGAAGUUGCUAAACUAAAAGAGCAAAACCAGGAACUUCAAAAGAAACAGGCUGAGAUCGUCGCAAUGCAGAAAAAUCAGUCCGGGACUUGUUGGAGCUUGUUGAAGGUCAGUCAGGGAUCUAUCGAGAUGGCCAAAGGUUGAUGCAGUCUUGCUAAACCUUCUGGACCUUGUUGCCAGUUCUCAUCAUAGCCUCUUUGUGCCAGAUCUUAGAGAUGCUUAAUCAGCAGCGAGAAACUAAGAAGUUAUGCUUGCGAAGGACGCAGACUGGUCCCUGGUAAAGCAAAAGCUUGGACCGGAAAAGUCACAUUCUACCUCGUGAGGGGUUUUGUUUUAUUUGUAGAAAUUGCUGUAAAUUAAGGAUCAAGAGUGUGUGGUUGUAGAUAAGAUUUCCCAUCCCUUAAUUAAGGCUUCGCUUGGGACGGCUUUCUCACUGCUUCUUAAAGCAGCUUUUUAGUACUAGAAAUCUACUUUAAGAAGCAGUAAAAAAGCCGCCCCAAAUGAAGCUAAGUUUGGUCCUUUUAUUGCCACCCACGUUUUUAGUUCUGAGGUUGGAGCACUUGACUUUCUGCUCUACUUUUAUUGUCAAUGUCAUUAUCCAUUGCAUGGCUUGGGGUAGUUUUAUUGACUCAGUUAUGUUGUACUAAGACUUCAAAUACGAUUAGAUUUGACCAUACUUGCAUUUUUAACAGCUACUCA
Molecule: RNA transcript, 2018 nt
Organism: Dendrobium catenatum
Lineage: Eukaryota; Viridiplantae; Streptophyta; Magnoliopsida; Asparagales; Orchidaceae
Gene name: bZIP transcription factor TRAB1
Exons: 5
Source: RefSeq, a predicted model, not a curated record